This 1395-nucleotide ribosomal RNA is filed under the name uncultured Bordetella sp. RNAcentral's name for it is "partial 16S-23S ribosomal RNA intergenic spacer". It matches the Rfam family "Bacterial small subunit ribosomal RNA". The record is from RNAcentral. Lineage: Bacteria; Pseudomonadati; Pseudomonadota; Betaproteobacteria; Burkholderiales; Alcaligenaceae.
AGUCGAACGGCAGCACGGACUUCGGUCUGGUGGCGAGUGGCGAACGGGUGAGUAAUGUAUCGGAACGUGCCUAGUAGCGGGGGAUAACUACGCGAAAGUAGCUAAUACUGCACAUUGCCCUCGGGGGAAAGCGGGGACCUUCGCCCCGCACUAUUAGAGCGGCCGAUAUCGGAUUAACCAGUUGCGGGGUAACGGCUCACCAAGGCGACGAUCCGUAGCUGGUUUGAGAGGACGACCAGCCACACUGGGACUGAGACACGGCCCAGACUCCUACGGGAGGUACACAGCAGUGGGGAAUUUUGGACAAUGGGGAAACCCCUGAUCCAGCCAUCCCCGCGUGUGCGAUGAAGGCCUUCGGGCUUGUAAAGCACUUUUGGCAGGAAGAAACGGCACGGGAUAAUACCCGCAACUGACGGUACCUGCAGAAUAAGCACCGACUAACUACGUGCCAGCAGCCGGUAAUACGUAGGUGCAAGCGUUAAUCGGAAUUACUGGGCGUAAAGCGUGCGCAGGCGGUUCGGAAAGAAAGAUGUGAAAUCCCAGAGCUAACUUUGAAACUGCAUUUUUAACUACCGAGCUAGAGUGUGUCAGAGGGAGGAAUUCCCGCGUAGCAGUGAAAUGCGUAGAUAUGCGGAGUGAACACCGACAUGAAGGCAGCCUCCCGGGAUAACACCGAUUUCAUGCACGAAAGCGUGGGAGCAAACAGGAUUAGAUAUUCCUGGUAGUCCACGUGCUCCAAAACGAUGUCAACUAGCUGUUGGGGCCUUUCGGGCCUGGUAGCGCAGCCAACGCGUGAAGUUGACCGCCUGGGGAGUACGGUCGUGAUAAAACUCAAAGGAAUUGACGGGGACGCGCACAAGCGGUGGAUGAUGAUUAAUUCGAUGCAAACGCGAAAAACUCCAUCACCCUUGACAUGUUCGAAUCCCGGAAGAUAUCGGAGUGCCUGUGCGAACCGGAACACAGGUGCUGCAUGGCUGUCAUCAGCUGGUGGCUGCAGAUGUUGUUAAGUCCGCACGAUGCAACCCUGCUGGCUAGUUGCCACAGCGCACUGACGACUGCCAGACAAACCGGAGGCGUGGUAUGACGCCAAGUCCCGCGGCCCUUAUGGUGGGGCUUCACACGCUGGCACAAUGGCCGGGACAGAGGGCGUCGCCAACCCGCGAGGGGGAGCCAAUCCCAGAAACCCGAUCGCAGUCCGGAUCGCAGUCUGCAACUCGACUGCGUGAAGUCGGAACUUCCGCUAGGGGACCGUGAUCGCUGUCGCAGAAUACGUUCCCGGGUCUUGCACACACCGCCCGUCACACCAAGGGAGUGGGUUUUACCAGAAGUAUUGAAUAAAUCGUAUGAGGGCGAUUACGGUAGGAUUCAUGACUGGGGUGAAGUCGUAACAAGGUA